This 458-nucleotide ribosomal RNA is filed under the name uncultured bacterium. Its description in RNAcentral is "partial 16S ribosomal RNA". It matches the Rfam family "Bacterial small subunit ribosomal RNA", at positions 338 to 795 of the family's 1533-position model. The record is from RNAcentral.
CCUACGGGGGGCAGCAGUGAGGAAUAUUGGUCAAUGGGCGAGAGCCUGAACCAGCCAAGUCGCGUGAGGGAGUACUGCCCUAUGGGUUGUAAACCUCUUUUGUCGGGGAGCAAAAGCCGGACGUGUCCGGCUGUUAGAGUCCCCGAAGAAAAAGCAUCGGCUAACUCCGUGCCAGCAGCCGCGGUAAUACGGAGGAUGCGAGCGUUAUCCGGAUUUAUUGGGUUUAAAGGGUGCGCAGGCGGAUUUUUAAGUCAGCGGUCAAAUCGUGGGGCUCAACCCCAUCCAGCCGUUGAAACUGGGGAUCUAGAGUGUGCGAGAGGUAUGCGGAAUGCGUGGUGUAGCGGUGAAAUGCAUAGAUAUCACGCAGAACCCCGAUUGCGAAGGCAGCAUACCGGUGCACAACUGACGCUCAGGCACGAAAGCGUGGGUAUCGAACAGGAUUAGAUACCCCAGUAGUC